This 255-nucleotide ribosomal RNA is filed under the name uncultured bacterium. RNAcentral's name for it is "partial 16S ribosomal RNA". It matches the Rfam family "Bacterial small subunit ribosomal RNA", at positions 113 to 354 of the family's 1533-position model. The record is from RNAcentral.
CGACGUGGAGAACCUGCCGUAUACUGGGGGAUAACACUUAGAAAUAGGUGCUAAUACCGCAUAAGCGCACAGCUUCGCAUGAAGCAGUGUGGAAAACAAAAAGCUAAAGCUUUUGGUGGUAUACGAUGGAUCCGCGUCUGAUUAGCUGGUUGGCGGGGUAAAGGCCCACCAAGGCGACGAUCAGUAGCCGGCCUGAGAGGGUGAACGGCCACAUUGGGACUGAGACACGGCCCAAACUCCUACGGAAGGCAGCAG